Molecule: long non-coding RNA, 236 nt
Filed under: Sorghum bicolor (sorghum)
Lineage: Eukaryota; Viridiplantae; Streptophyta; Magnoliopsida; Poales; Poaceae
Description: long non-coding RNA (SBIC_LNC014763)
Source: RNAcentral
ACAGAUGAAGCUUUGGGUAACAAUUUGAUGGGGUUGUUCAGGUGGAGCUAGGCUGUGGUGGCGAGAUAGAAAAACCAUGUAAGAGCCGUACACUACUAUAAACUUGAUUCUUGAAGACAGGACCAUUUCAUUAACGGAUGCUAGAGGGCAAGUUAUUUGGUAUUCGAGUUUGUGGAUGUUCUUAAAAUCAAGCAACAAGUUAGGGUGGCAAAUUGGACUUUACUCUUUUUUUCCUC